GAAGGUAUAGCUCACGUGGUAGAGUGCAUGCUUAGCAUGCAUAGUGUUCUGGGUUCAAUCCCCAGUACCUCUU
RNAcentral lists this transfer RNA (73 nucleotides) under Camelus bactrianus (Bactrian camel). It matches the Rfam family "tRNA". From Rfam's summary of the family: Transfer RNA (tRNA) molecules are approximately 80 nucleotides in length. Their secondary structure includes four short double-helical elements and three loops (D, anti-codon, and T loops). Further hydrogen bonds mediate the characteristic L-shaped molecular structure. tRNAs have two regions of fundamental functional importance: the anti-codon, which is responsible for specific mRNA codon recognition, and the 3' end, to which the tRNAs corresponding amino acid is attached (by aminoacyl-tRNA synthetases). tRNAs cope with the degeneracy of the genetic code in two manners: having more than one tRNA (with a specific anti-codon) for a particular amino acid; and 'wobble' base-pairing, i.e. permitting non-standard base-pairing at the 3rd anti-codon position. The record is from Rfam by way of RNAcentral. Lineage: Eukaryota; Metazoa; Chordata; Mammalia; Artiodactyla; Camelidae. RNAcentral also lists the same sequence under 2 other names.